CUUAUGAAGCCCUCCACUGUGGAGGCUGCAAGAUUGGAGGGGAUGCCGUCGCCGAUCCUGGGUCCUCUGCUGCCAUUCCAUAGUGUCUUCCAGGUUCCUGAGACAUCUCUCCUGGCUCCCUUGACCUUCACAGCUCAUCCGACUUCAGUGCCAUCCAACAGAGAGCUGAAAGAAUUCAUCACCAACAGAUCUACACUACAAAGAAAUGUUAAAGGAAGUCCUUUAGGCACAAGGAAAAUGACACCAGAUGGGAAAGUGAAUGUACACAGAGGAAUACAGAGCACCAGAAAUGUAAUUUUUCUAGUAUCCACGUGUAUUAUGUUUACACCAAGGCAACAACUACCAACAAGUGGCAGUGAAGCACAGUGGCUAGAGUCCAGCUUCUGGGGCUGGGCUGGCUGUGCCUGAAUCCUCCUUCCACGGGCCCAAACCUGGGUGGCUGCAAGGUGGGAAGACGGUAGCCGCACCCAGCUCGCCAGACAGAGAGCCAGGAGCAGGAAGCGCUGUGGACACAGGCCAAGCACCCACACCGUUCCCAGGAGCCCGGCCUCAGAUCCUAUCUCCAGCUUACCCUGCCUUUGUCAAGCCCUCAGGACUUGGCAUCCAGGCCAGCGUUUGCCCAAACAAGCAGUGAGUCAGAGCUGGACAUCAGACCAUGCCAAGCAGGGCCAGGCCCACCAUGCCAAGGAUCUGGGGACACUAUCCCAG
Molecule: long non-coding RNA, 708 nt
Filed under: Equus caballus (horse)
Lineage: Eukaryota; Metazoa; Chordata; Mammalia; Perissodactyla; Equidae
Description: lncRNA (ENSECAG00000050972.1)
Source: RNAcentral